UUGCUUCAGCAGCACAUAUACUAAAAUUGGAACAAUACAGAGUAGAUUAGCAUGGCUUCUGCACAAGGAUGCCACACAAAUUUGUGAAACAUUCAAUAUUUUU
Bos grunniens (domestic yak) is the source of this 103-nucleotide small nuclear RNA. NCBI's taxonomy places the organism in Eukaryota, Metazoa, Chordata, Mammalia, Artiodactyla, Bovidae. The record is from Ensembl.